RNAcentral lists this ribosomal RNA (465 nucleotides) under Vreelandella stevensii. RNAcentral describes it as "partial 16S ribosomal RNA". It matches the Rfam family "Bacterial small subunit ribosomal RNA", at positions 338 to 795 of the family's 1533-position model. The record is from RNAcentral. Lineage: Bacteria; Pseudomonadati; Pseudomonadota; Gammaproteobacteria; Oceanospirillales; Halomonadaceae.
CCUACGGGAGGCAGCAGUGGGGAAUAUUGGACAAUGGGGGGAACCCUGAUCCAGCCAUGCCGCGUGUGUGAAGAAGGCCCUCGGGUUGUAAAGCACUUUCAGUGAGGAAGAACGCCUGGUGGUUAAUACCCAUCAGGAAAGACAUCACUCACAGAAGAAGCACCGGCUAACUCCGUGCCAGCAGCCGCGGUAAUACGGAGGGUGCGAGCGUUAAUCGGAAUUACUGGGCGUAAAGCGCGCGUAGGUGGCUUGAUAAGCCGGUUGUGAAAGCCCCGGGCUCAACCUGGGAACGGCAUCCGGAACUGUCAAGCUAGAGUGCAGGCGAGGAAGGUAGAAUUCCCGGUGUAGCGGUGAAAUGCGUAGAGAUCGGGAGGAAUACCAGUGGCGAAGGCGGCCUUCUGGACUGACACUGACACUGAGGUGCGAAAGCGUGGGUAGCAAACAGGAUUAGAUACCCUGGUAGUC